This 244-nucleotide unclassified non-coding RNA is filed under the name Hortaea werneckii. RNAcentral's name for it is "partial contains 5.8S ribosomal RNA, internal transcribed spacer 2, and large subunit ribosomal RNA". The record is from RNAcentral. Lineage: Eukaryota; Fungi; Ascomycota; Dothideomycetes; Mycosphaerellales; Teratosphaeriaceae.
CGCACAUUGCGCCCCCUGGCAUUCCGGGGGGCAUGCCUGUUCGAGCGUCAUUACACCACUCAAGCCUGGCUUGGUAUUGAGCGACCGCGGCCUGCCCGCGCGCUCCAAUGUCUCCGGCUGAGCCGUCCGUCUCUAAGCGUUGUGAAUAGCGAUCGCUUGCGAGGCCCGGGCGGUUCGACGCCGUUAAACCCCCCCAUUUUCUAUGGUUGACCUCGGAUCAGGUAGGGAUACCCGCUGAACUUAA